This is a non-coding RNA of Macaca mulatta (Rhesus monkey), 582 nucleotides long. Lineage: Eukaryota; Metazoa; Chordata; Mammalia; Primates; Cercopithecidae. The record is from RefSeq and is a predicted model, not a curated record.
GCUUACCCUGACUGCCCUGUGAGAUCGUUAAUUUAGAGCACAUCAGUGUGACAGUACAUUUCUUUUGAAAUGCAACUCAAAAUCCACUUCCUCCAGGAGGAAUGCCAAGUGGCGUCCCGGAACAGGACAAGUUGUACUUCACAGGAGAUGGGAAGCUAGAGGGUGGAAACGCCAUCAUUAAUCCACCAAGCGGCAGGGGGUGGGGGCGCUUGCUUCCAAUAGGCAUGGCUGGAAAAAUCAGCAGCUCCGGGUUGUGCUCCUGCCUGUGUCCCUGCCAUGACUGUGAAGGGCUAAGAACACAGCAGAAAAGGGAGCCAGCUGCCAUGUCAUGCAGACACUCAAGCAGCCCUAUGGAGAAGCCACAAGGUGAGGGGCUGAGGCCUCUUUCCCACAGCCAUGUGAGUGGGCCAUUCCGGAAGCAGAUCCUCCAGCCCCAGCCAAGCUGACAGACGACUGCAGCCCCAGCCAACAUCUAACCUGGAGCCUCUUGAGAGACCAACCCAGAGACCCCACCCAGCUAAGCCACUCCAGAAUCCCUGACCCCAAACAUUGUGACAUGAUAAAAAUGUGUUGUUUAAGCUA